RNAcentral lists this ribosomal RNA (497 nucleotides) under uncultured bacterium. RNAcentral describes it as "partial 16S ribosomal RNA". It matches the Rfam family "Bacterial small subunit ribosomal RNA", at positions 28 to 507 of the family's 1533-position model. The record is from RNAcentral.
GACGAACGCUGGCGGCGUGCCUAAUACAUGCAAGUUGAGCGCUGAAGGUUGGUACUUGUACCAACUGGAUGAGCAGCGAACGGGUGAGUAACGCGUGGGUAAUCUGCCUUUGAGCGGGGGACAACAUUUGGAAACGAAUGCUAAUACCGCAUAAAAACUUUAAACACAAGUUUUAAGUUUGAAAGAUGCAAUUGCAUCACUCAAAGAUGAUCCCGCGUUGUAUUAGCUAGUUGGUGAGGUAAAGGCUCACCAAGGCGAUGAUACAUAGCCGACCUGAGAGGGUGAUCGGCCAAAUUGGGACUGAGACACGGCCCAAAAUCCUACGGGAGGCAGCAGUAGGGAAUCUUCGGCAAUGGACGAAAGUCUGAACGAGCAACGCCGCGUGAGUGGAGAAGGGUUUCGGAUCGUAAAACUCUGUUGGUAGAGAAGAACGUUGGUGAGAGUGGAAAGCUCAUCAAGUGACGGUAACUACACAGAAAGGGACGGCUAACUACGUG